This 433-nucleotide ribosomal RNA is filed under the name uncultured archaeon. RNAcentral describes it as "bacterial SSU rRNA". It matches the Rfam family "Archaeal small subunit ribosomal RNA", at positions 420 to 851 of the family's 1478-position model. The record is from RNAcentral.
UAAAAAGCAUUGCAUAGCAAGGGCCGGGCAAGACCGGUGCCAGCCGCCGCGGUAACACCGGCGGCUCGAGUGGUAGCCGUUAUUAUUGGGUCUAAAGGGUCUGUAGCCGGCCGGAUAAGUCUCUUGGGAAAUCUGGCAGCUUAACUGUCAGGCUUUCAGGGGAUACUGUCUGGCUUGAGACCGGGAGAGGUGAGAGGUACUUCAGGGGUAGGGGUGAAAUCCUGUAAUCCUUGAAGGACCACCAGUGGCGAAGGCGUCUCACCAGAACGGACCUGACRGCAAGGGACGAAAGCUAGGGGCACGAACCGGAUUAGAUACCCGGGUAGUCCUAGCCGUAAACGAUACUCGUUAGGUGUCGGCCACGCUGCGACCGUUGUCGGUGCCGUAGGGAAGCCGUGAAGCGAGCCACCUGGGAAGUACGGCCGCAAGGCUG